This 107-nucleotide small RNA is filed under the name Marmota monax (woodchuck). Lineage: Eukaryota; Metazoa; Chordata; Mammalia; Rodentia; Sciuridae. The record is from RNAcentral.
GCUAGUUGUGGUGGCCCAUUCCUGUAAUCCCAGCAGCUUGGGAGGCUGAGGCAGGAGGAUAGCAUGUUCCAAGCCAGACUGAGCAAUAUAGCAAAACCCUGUCUCAA